Molecule: ribosomal RNA, 254 nt
Filed under: uncultured bacterium
Lineage: Bacteria
Description: partial 16S ribosomal RNA
Rfam family: Bacterial small subunit ribosomal RNA
Source: RNAcentral
UACAGAGGUCUCAAGCGUUGUUCGGAUUCAUUGGGCGUAAAGGGCGCGUAGGCGGCGCGGUAAGUCACUUGUGAAAUCUCUGAGCUUAACUCAGAACGGCCAAGUGAUACUGCAGUGCUAGAGUGCAGAAAGGGCAAUCGGAAUUCUUGGUGUAGCGGUGAAAUGCGUAGAUAUCAAGAGGAACACCUGAGGCGAAGGCGGGUUGCUAGGCUGACACUGACGCUGAGUGCGCGAAAGCCAGGGGAGCAAACGGG